GCAGCAGUAGGGAAUCUUCCACAAUGGACGAAAANUNUGAUGGAGCAAUGCCGCGUGGAGUGAAGAAGGGUUUCGGCUCGUAAAANUNUGGUUGUUAAAGAAGAACACCUUUGAGAGUAACUGUUCAAGGGGUUGACGGUAUUUAACCAGAAAGCCACGGCUAACUACGUGCCAGCAGCCGCGGUAAUACGUAGGUGGCAAGCGUUGUCCGGAUUUAUUGGGCGUAAAGCGAGCGCAGGCGGUUUUUUAAGUCUGAUGUGAAAGCCUUCGGCUUAACCGGAGAAGUGCAUCGGAAACUGGGAGACUUGAGUGCAGAAGAGGACAGUGGAACUCCAUGUGUAGCGGUGGAAUGCGUAGAUAUAUGGAAGAACACCAGUGGCGAAGGCGGCUGUCUAGUCUGUAACUGACGNUGAGGCUCGAAAGCAUGGGUAGCGAACAGGAUUAGAUACCCUGGUAGUCCAUGCCGUAAACGAUGAGUGCUAAGUGUUGGAGGGUUUCCGCCCUUCAGUGCUGCAGCUAACGCAUUAAGCACUCCGCCUGGGGAGUACGACCGCAAGGUUGAAACUCAAAGGAAUUGACGGGGGCCCGCACAAGCGGUGGAGCAUGUGGUUUAAUUCGAAGCUACGCGAAGAACCUUACCAGGUCUUGACAUCUUCUGCCAAUCUUAGAGAUAAGACGUUCCCUUCGGGGACAGAAUGACAGGUGGUGCAUGGUUGUCGUCAGCUCGUGUCGUGAGAUGUUGGGUUAAGUCCCGCAACGAGCGCAACCCUUAUUAUCAGUUGCCAGCAUUCAGUUGGGCACUCUGGUGAGACUGCCGGUGACAAACCGGAGGAAGGUGGGGGAUGACGUCAAAUCAUCAUGCCCCUUAUGACCUGGGCUACACACGUGCUACAAUGGACGGUACAACGAGUUNCGAAGUCGUGAGGCUAAGCUAAUCUCUUAAAGCCGUUCUCAGUUCGGAUUGUAGGCUGCAACUCGCCUACAUGAAGUUGGAAUCNCUAGUAAUCGCGGAUCAGCAUGCCGCGGUGAAUACGUUCCCGGGCCUUGUACACACCGCCCGUCACACCAUGAGAGUU
This 1076-nucleotide ribosomal RNA is filed under the name Levilactobacillus brevis. RNAcentral describes it as "bacterial SSU rRNA". It matches the Rfam family "Bacterial small subunit ribosomal RNA", at positions 348 to 1412 of the family's 1533-position model. Lineage: Bacteria; Bacillati; Bacillota; Bacilli; Lactobacillales; Lactobacillaceae. The record is from RNAcentral.